RNAcentral lists this ribosomal RNA (254 nucleotides) under uncultured bacterium. RNAcentral's name for it is "partial 16S ribosomal RNA". It matches the Rfam family "Bacterial small subunit ribosomal RNA", at positions 524 to 776 of the family's 1533-position model. The record is from RNAcentral.
UACGAGGGGGGCGAGCGUUGUUCGGAAUUAUUGGGCGUAAAGGGUGCGUAGGCGGUUUGGUAAGUCGGAUGUGAAAGCCCUCGGCUCAACUGAGGAAGUGCACCCGAAACUGGCGAGCUUGAGUACGAAAAGAGGAUCGCGGAAUUCCCGGUGUAGAGGUGAAAUUCGUAGAUAUCGGGAGGAACACCGGUGGCGAAGGCGGCGAUCUGGGUCGAUACUGACGCUGAGGUGCGAAAGCGUGGGGAGCAAACAGG